GCCAUCGUAGUGUAAUUGGUAGCAUACUUGGCGCGUAUUCGAGAGGUCCAGGGUUCGAAUCUCCGCGAAGGCA
Molecule: transfer RNA, 73 nt
Filed under: Stegodyphus mimosarum
Lineage: Eukaryota; Metazoa; Arthropoda; Arachnida; Araneae; Eresidae
Rfam family: tRNA
About the family: Transfer RNA (tRNA) molecules are approximately 80 nucleotides in length. Their secondary structure includes four short double-helical elements and three loops (D, anti-codon, and T loops). Further hydrogen bonds mediate the characteristic L-shaped molecular structure. tRNAs have two regions of fundamental functional importance: the anti-codon, which is responsible for specific mRNA codon recognition, and the 3' end, to which the tRNAs corresponding amino acid is attached (by aminoacyl-tRNA synthetases). tRNAs cope with the degeneracy of the genetic code in two manners: having more than one tRNA (with a specific anti-codon) for a particular amino acid; and 'wobble' base-pairing, i.e. permitting non-standard base-pairing at the 3rd anti-codon position.
Source: Rfam by way of RNAcentral